CAGCCGCCGCGGGAAUACAGAGGAUGCAAGCGUUAUCUGGAAUUAUUGGGCGUAAAGGGCGCGUAGGCGGUUUGCCAAGUUAGAUGUGAAAUUCCCAGGCUUAACCUGGGGACUGCAUUUGAUACUGGCAGGCUUGAGUGUGGAAGAGGGUCGUGGAAUUCCCAGUGUAGAGGUGAAAUUCGUAGAUAUUGGGAAGAACACCGGUGGCGAAGGCGGCGACCUGGUCCAUAACUGACGCUGAGGCGCGAAAGCGUGGGGAGCAAACAGGAUUAGAUACCCCUGUAGUCCCUGUCUCUUAUAC
Molecule: ribosomal RNA, 301 nt
Filed under: uncultured bacterium
Lineage: Bacteria
Description: partial 16S ribosomal RNA
Rfam family: Bacterial small subunit ribosomal RNA
Source: RNAcentral